GUCCCUUCGGGGACAUCCAAUAAAAUUGGAAUGAUACAGAGAAGAUUAGCAUGGCCCCAAUGCACGGAUGACACAGACAAAUCGACAAAAUGGUCCAUGUUUUU
Molecule: non-coding RNA, 104 nt
Organism: Triticum aestivum (bread wheat)
Lineage: Eukaryota; Viridiplantae; Streptophyta; Magnoliopsida; Poales; Poaceae
Source: Rfam